RNAcentral lists this ribosomal RNA (461 nucleotides) under uncultured bacterium. RNAcentral describes it as "partial 16S ribosomal RNA". It matches the Rfam family "Bacterial small subunit ribosomal RNA", at positions 338 to 795 of the family's 1533-position model. The record is from RNAcentral.
UCUACGGGUGGCAGCAGUGAGGAAUAUUGGUCAAUGGACGCAAGUCUGAACCAGCCAUGCCGCGUGCAGGAUGACGGCUCUAUGAGUUGUAAACUGCUUUUGUACGAGGGUAAACCCCGAUACGUGUAUCGGGUUGAAAGUAUCGUACGAAUAAGGAUCGGCUAACUCCGUGCCAGCAGCCGCGGUAAUACGGGGGAUGCAAGCGUUAUCCGGAUUUAUUGGGUUUAAAGGGUGCGUAGGCUGGGAGGUAAGUCAGCGGUGAAAUGCCCCCGCUCAACGGGGUGAAGUGCCAUUGAUACUGCCUUGCUGGAAUGCGGAUGCCGUGGGAGGAAUGUGUGGUGUAGCGGUGAAAUGCAUAGAUAUCACACAGAACACCGAUUGCGAAGGCAUCUCACGAAUCCGCGAUUGACGCUGAUGCACGAAAGCGUGGGUAUCAAACAGGAUUAGAUACCCGAGUAGUC